CCUACGGGUGGCAGCAGUGGGGAAUAUUGCGCAAUGGGCGAAAGCCUGACGCAGCGACGCCGCGUGAGGGAUGAAGGUCUUCGGAUCGUAAACCUCUGUCAGCAGGGAAGAACGGUCACUGUGCUAAUCAGCAGUGAAUUGACGGUACCUGCAAAGGAAGCACCGGCUAACUACGUGCCAGCAGCCGCGGUAAUACGGAGGGUGCGAGCGUUAAUCGGAUUUACGGGGCGUAAAGCGCUCGUAGGCGGGAUGUCAAGUAAAGGGUGAAAUCCCCGCGCUCAACGUGGGAACUGCCUUUGAAACUGGCAAACUGGAGUGUGUGAGAGGAUAGUGGAAUUCCAGGUGUAGGAGUGAAAUCCGUAGAUAUCUGGAGGAACACCAGUGGCGAAGGCGACUAACUGGCACAUAACUGACGCUGAGGAGCGAAAGCGUGGGUAGCAAACAGGAUUAGAUACCCGGGUAGUC
RNAcentral lists this ribosomal RNA (465 nucleotides) under uncultured bacterium. RNAcentral describes it as "partial 16S ribosomal RNA". It matches the Rfam family "Bacterial small subunit ribosomal RNA", at positions 338 to 795 of the family's 1533-position model. The record is from RNAcentral.